CACCAACCAAGCUGACAGUGAACUACUUCAAAAGGACUUAACAGCAUUGGAAGACUGGGAAAACAAAUGGCAGAUGAGUUUUAAUGCCAAAAAAAUGCCUUGUCAUCAGAAUAUCCCCAAAAAAAUAGACCAGUGAUACAAACAUCGUACCAGCUACACGGUCAUACUCUAGACACAGAGGAAGCAAGUAAAUAUCUUGGAGUAACUAUCAGCAACAACCUAACAUGGGAUAAACACAUAGACAAUACAGUAGGCAAAGGAAACAGAACGUUGGGAUUUAUACGUAGAAACCUCAAAGGCUGUACAAAACCUGUAAAGGCAGCUGAGUAUGUAUCCAUGGUAAGACCUGCAGUGGAAUACGCAAGCACAAUAUGGGACCCAACCGCCCAAAAUAAAAUCAAGGCAAUUGAACAGGUCCAGAAAAGAGCUGCACGAUUUGUGAAUAACAACUACACAGACCGAACACCUGGCUGUGUCACAAAUAUGGUUAAAAAUCUUAAAUGGGAAAGUCUAGAAGAACGGAGGAAAACAAAUAGAUUAUGCAUGCUAUUUAAGAUCCAGCAUGAUCUUAUAGAUAUAGACCGUCACCAAUAUUUGACACCGAAUGAUAACCGGACCAGAGGUAAAAACCGCUUCUUCCAAGAAAGAACAAGUACAGACACUUACGGCCAAUCUUUCUUCCCGAGGACAAUCAGGGACUGGAACAACCUACCAACAACAGUUACAGCGACCAACACCGUUGAGGGAUUCAGAGCUGCCCUGAAGGCAUGCUCUGAAAGGAAGUAGGAAAACCCAGUUGUAAAUAAUUUUAAUUGUAUAUUUUUGCGAACGUUUUAAAUGUAUUUGUAAAUAGCCAAGAGAAAGCUUUCUGUGUUGCCCGACACUGCGUAAAGUUUUCGCGCGGAACCAUGAACAUUCAGUAUUGAAUCCGGUUCCUUACCUGGAAGAAGAA
This 952-nucleotide long non-coding RNA is filed under the name Mytilus galloprovincialis (Mediterranean mussel). Lineage: Eukaryota; Metazoa; Mollusca; Bivalvia; Mytilida; Mytilidae. The record is from RNAcentral.